CCCACAGUCCCACCCGACAUCCUCGCGCAGAACGCGUCGCUAAUCUCGCGGUCGCGCCUCGGCCGAUCCGCGCCUGCCUGCCGCCGCCCGCGAUUGUAGCUCACCCCGACACCGCGCCCCCUCCUCUCCCCUGACGUGAUGCCCGCCUCCCACCCCUUUCUCCGCAUCGCACGGAUCUAGCGCGGGAAUUGCUCGGCCACGGCUCCGCACACCCUCCCUUCCCAUGAGACGGAGCCGCCGUAUCCUGCUCGCGAGGCAACGGAAGGGUACGUGAUCCUCUGUCUACAUGGAAGGUGAGGCAGAUCGGGGGGAGAGUGGCUCGUGGCAGUCGCCUCGACGGCGUCCUUCGCGCCGUCCGGCGAGGUGUCGUCCAAGCACGGCGUCGUCGGCUACGGGAUCGUGGGCGGGCCCAACGGCAACGCCGUCGCGCCCGCCGCCAAGUCCACCGUCGUCGAGACCACCGUCGAGAGGGUUAUCUUCGAUUUCUGGUUCCUGGCGCUCCUCCCCACCGCUCGGGAACCACUCCACCGCCGAGACCGUCUUAACGAUCGGCUCCGUCGUGGCCCGCCCGCGACCCCGUAUCUGCUCGCGCUCAGCUAGGGUUCAGAUCUGAAAAUGGCCGAUGACGGUGCGAGGAGGGGAAUGCCCGCUGAAGGCUGAAGCUGCCCCCACGGGCUACAGUAGGUGCCAUCGCUCACCACACCGAACACCCCACUGCCCCCAGACCGUGCUCCAGGAACCUACGGCGAUAGGAGGCCACUGAGGAUGGCCCGGUGCGGUACUGCUGCCUUCCGGAGGACGCCGAGCGCCGGAGAGGGGCUCUUCUAUUGGACUUGGAGCAAGCCCACGGCGACAACGCCGGAAGCAAAAUGGCCUCUUCUCUAGAAGGACAUGAGUUCGAUCCACCACAGGGAGGCGCGCCCGCCAGGCUCCAUCUUCGGAUCUGAUCGCCCACCAAGUGGGUUGAGUUCGGAUGACGAGAGUUUGCCUGCAACCGAUCUAAAGGUUAGAGCGAGCGGCAUGUGAUGCGGAAAAAUGAAGUCAGCAAGGAAUACUUCUUAAAAACUGUAAGGAAUAUUGUUGGUGAUAAAUUGCUUAAGCAAGCUGCUUCACGAUAUCAAAUGCAGGCACAACGAAGCCCUCAGACAAACCCAAGCAACUAUUCUUUAUCAGGUCAAGUUUCUGGUCAGCAGACUGCUCCCAGUGGUUCUGUGACAGGAGAUGAACAGAAGGGAUAUCCAUGGGCGCACACCAUCCCUAUGAGACAAGCUAUUGCCAGCACUCGACCAAUUUGCAUAAGGCUAAUGAAAUGGGAAACAUGUCAGAUGGGAAAGGGGUCCAUAUGUUACAAACUCGUCCACCCAAUAACUCCAUACCAGUACAAACAAUGCAGCAUCACGUGCAGUGACCACAAACAUCUUCACCAGUGUUUGGGGCAAAUAGUAUUCAUGCACGUCCAUUUCCGCGGCCAGUUGGAGGUCCAGCUGCACCAUUUAGACCACAAAUGGCAGAUUCCAAUCCAAGAGCACACUUGAUUCGGGGAGCUGUGACCACAGUAUCUGGGAGUGUGCCAACACGAUCCAUAGUGUCUGGAAAUGCGCCAGUCAAUCAAGCCUUGGGAUCUUCAAAAGUCAGUGCUGGCAUGGAAAGCCAGUCACAACAAUUGAGUGCACCUAAAGCCUUUAGCUGCAACAAGCUUAAGUCAGACUCAAUCUCAUGGCAUUCAAGAAGAGCCUAAAAUUCAGGGGAAGAAACAACUAUUAUUCGAGAGUUUGCCUGCAACCGAUCUAAAGGUUAGAGCGAGCGGCAUGUGAUGCGGGAAUAUAUGAGGCCUUGGAGUUGAGGGAUGGAGGAUCUGAUUAUCUUGGCAAGGGUGUUUAUCUUAGACCUCAAAGCUCAAUCUAGCAUGCUCUUCGCUCUGUUUUACUUUCCAUGAUUCGUUGAGUAUCUAUGCAGUUUCUGCACGAUUACUAUGAAUUACGAACUAAACUUAAAUCAAAUACUUCAGUAUGGUCUCUAGAGAGGAAGCUCUGCCAACCAUUACUAAUAACUGAGAAGAUGUUCGCGUACAGGGAGACGGUGUUGGAGGAGGCACAUCGGGGCAUGGAGCUGCGUGAGCACUGCCGCCAUAUAGUUGACAACGAUGACCGACACUAUAGAUUCCAUUCUCUGUGUGUACACCAAGGUUACUGCGACCGUGAUGGGCAUCUAGGUGCUCGAACCAUUAGUUGGGCUAAGGAACACGGAACAGCAGCAACAAUAUCGUAAGGAGAGUGCAGACGUUGGACAAAUGGAAGUAGCUCUUCCACUACUGGAGCAAUUGUUGGUGGAGUGGCUGCUGGCGCAGCCUUGCUAUUUGCUGUUCCUGCUAUCAGUUUUGCCUAUUGGCGGCAUAGGAAACCACAAGAGCAUUUUUUCAAUGUAUCUGGCUUCAAAGUUAGUCUUUGAUUAUUAUCUUUCUCGCAACAUAAGGGCAAACAACGUUUAUAUGUAGCAAACAAGUACGGUUUGCAAAUGUUUUAGGAACAUGUUUUUACAAUAAAGAUAUACUUAUAGUUUCACC
Zea mays is the source of this 2563-nucleotide RNA transcript. It is a transcript of the gene named Transcription initiation factor TFIID subunit 4b pseudogene, with no coding region annotated. NCBI's taxonomy places the organism in Eukaryota, Viridiplantae, Streptophyta, Magnoliopsida, Poales, Poaceae. The record is from RefSeq and is marked validated. The transcript has 12 exons.